UAGGGAAUCUUCCGCAAUGGACGCAAGUCUGACGGAGCAACGCCGCGUGAGUGAAGAAGGAUUUCGGUUCGUAAAACUCUGUUGUUAGAGAAGAACAGCGCAUAGAGUAACUGUUAUGCGUGUGACGGUAUCUAACCAGAAAGCCACGGCUAACUACGUGCCAGCAGCCGCGGUAAUACGUAGGUGGCAAGCGUUGUCCGGAUUUAUUGGGCGUAAAGCGAGCGCAGGCGGUCAAUUAAGUCUGAUGUGAAAGCCCCCGGCUCAACCGGGGAGGGUCAUUGGAAACUGGUUGACUUGAGUGCAGAAGAGGAGAGUGGAAUUCCAUGUGUAGCGGUGAAAUGCGUAGAUAUAUGGAGGAACACCAGUGGCGAAGGCGACUCUCUGGACUGUAACUGACGCUGAGGCUCGAAAGCGUGGGUAGCAAACAGG
This 429-nucleotide ribosomal RNA is filed under the name Bacteroidota bacterium. RNAcentral describes it as "Bacteroidetes bacterium partial 16S ribosomal RNA". It matches the Rfam family "Bacterial small subunit ribosomal RNA", at positions 355 to 776 of the family's 1533-position model. The record is from RNAcentral. Lineage: Bacteria; Pseudomonadati; Bacteroidota.